RNAcentral lists this ribosomal RNA (492 nucleotides) under uncultured bacterium. Its description in RNAcentral is "partial 16S ribosomal RNA". It matches the Rfam family "Bacterial small subunit ribosomal RNA", at positions 29 to 507 of the family's 1533-position model. The record is from RNAcentral.
AGUGAACGCUGGCGGUAGGCCUAACACAUGCAAGUCGAACGGCAGCACAGUAAGAGCUUGCUCUUACGGGUGGCGAGUGGCGGACGGGUGAGGAAUACAUCGGAAUCUACUUUUUCGUGGGGGAUAACGUAGGGAAACUUACGCUAAUACCGCAUACGACCUACGGGUGAAAGCAGGGGAUCUUCGGACCUUGCGCGAUUGAAUUAGCCGAUGCCGGAUUAGCUAGUUGGCUGGGUAAAGGCCCACCAAGGCGACGAUCCGUAGCUGGUCUGAGAGGAUGAUCAGCCACACUGGAACUGAGACACGGUCCAGACUCCUACGGGAGGCAGCAGUGGGGAAUAUUGGACAAUGGGCGCAAGCCUGAUCCAGCCAUACCGCGUGGGUGAAGAAGGCCUUCGGGUUGUAAAGCCCUUUUGUUGGGAAAGAAAAGCAGCAGGUUAAUACCCCGCUGUUCUGACGGUACCCAAAGAAUAAGCACCGGCUAACUUCGUG